Molecule: long non-coding RNA, 5276 nt
Organism: Anolis carolinensis (green anole)
Lineage: Eukaryota; Metazoa; Chordata; Lepidosauria; Squamata; Anolidae
Exons: 3
Source: RefSeq, a predicted model, not a curated record
AAGGGCUUCCGGUGCAGAGAGUGUUUCCUGUGAUAGAGCGUCCAUAGCUGAAGCGGCUUCCUGCAGCGUCAAGUCGCAGAAGCGGAGGGCUUGAUUGGCUGAAGAACCGGAAAUGAGUGAAGCCGGCCGGAUAUAUCUGCUAUUGCCAUGCUGAUCGGACAGCAAGCCCAGAACAGUGUUUUAUCUCAGUCUUUCCUUCAAGUGACUGCCUGUUGCCUUUCCCAGGCCAUUUCCACUAAAAGAAGUGUUCACCAUAGAAACAGAAUCAGGAGAUGAUGCAAACAUGGGCAGAUACAUAGUCUCUGUCUCAUCAUCCAGUAAGUAUUGACUUUUCAAGUGAGAAUUUAUUUAUGACUACAGUGUGACCAGCAUGAAUGAAUUGAGCCUUCAAGUGUUGCUAGAUUCCUAUUGUCCCAUGACAGAGGUUUGGUGAUCCACCUUGGUUUUUAUUCCAGGCUGUAAAAGAGUUACCCCAAAGGCAGAACCCUGUCCCCAAAACAUGUCCUUCAUUUUGGGUAUUUUCUUUAAAAUCUGGAAAGAAAAUUGCUGUUCCCUCACUAUUGAUGCCACUGACCAUUUCUGGUGUGCCCCAUUAGUUACACUACAGCCUCAUCACACCAGAGCAUGGAUUGACUUUAAAUCCGGUUUCGACCUCUUGAAGAAUCCUGGGGUUUAUAGUUUAGUGAGGCCCAGAACUGUCUACUGAGCAGUUUAAAGGCCUCCUUCCCUAAACUAUAAGCCUGCCUUCUUCAAGAGGCAGAAACUGAAUUUAAAGUGGAUCAAUGCUAGUCAAGAUUGAUGAGAAUUUCAGUCCAGCAUUCUCUGGAGGACAACAAACUACUCACACAUAUUUACAAACUGAAUAUUGGCCAAGCCACCGUUUCUGCUGAUAUUUCUCCCCAAAAAUGUUGGACAUUUUCAUUUAUGCAGGAUGCUCAGAACCCAUUUUCAGAGAGGUGUACAAACAUUAAUGUUCCAUCCUUGAUGUCAUGAAGGGGAAUGGGAGAAAAGAGCAACUAUUUGAUUUAUAGCUUGCAUUUCUCCCAAAAUUUGACUCGAAACAGUUAGCUCUGGAGCAUUUUUGUAGGACAACAUCAUCAGCUGGAAUAUAUGUUAAUUUAUUUACUGUGCAUUUUGUGCUAUCCAAAUAUCUAAAAGGUAGGCCUUUCUACUCAUGAAAUCAAUGGCUGUGUUAUGACAUCACACUUGAGAGGGGAAAGCAUGGGUGACUGUCCCUUUGAGAUAACGAAUUGCCCCUCUUAUUUUUGGAAAGGCAUGACCUUUCAGAGACCAUAACCUUUUGGAAAACCAGGAAUCUCCGUAGCUUUUUGGAAGUGUGGCCCUUUUGGAGAUUAAUUGACAUUCACAUUAUUUGAAAUAAUCAUAACCUUUUGUAAAGUAUGAUCUUCCUGAGAAGAGUUCAAUACUCUCCUUAGUGGUAAAUAUCCACUAGUACUCAUGCAAGGCAAAUUAGGCUUCUCAGCUGUUAGAUUGAUAUACCCGGUUAUCUCUCUGAACUGUUAGGAACAAAGAUAUGCCAAUGCACAAAAUAUAUAGCAGAUCUUCAGAAGUGUUAUUUCAUCCCCCCCCCCCCAAAAAAACUAUUCUCCCAAAAAUAUAUUGCUUUUAAAUUAUGCUCUCAAGAGACUAAACAUUAGUAGUCUUCGUUAAAAGUAGCAUAGUUGAUUUACUUACAAACUUCAUGUAUUCAGCAUACAGGUACAUUUCUUACUGGUUGAUAGUUUAAACAAUCUGUUCUCUAAAGCAUUCUGUUUUAGUCUCUUCUUUGCUGCACACAGACUAAUACUCUCUUCAGUCUACUACAUUACUGAACAUUGACUCAAUUACAGACUGACUAUAAGGUAAAAGUAAAGGUUUCCCCUGACGUUAAGUCCAGUCGUGACCGACUCUGAGGGUUGGUGCUUGUUAGUGUAUGUUUAUGUUUUGAGGUUGAAAUGUUAUAUCAAAUUAAACUGUUUGGUGUUUUGCAACUGUGUUUCCAGCAAAGCAUUUCAGCAGUGCAGGAGUUUUAAUCACUAGACUGCUUGAGUGAUUGCCCACAGGACCUAUGGGGCACAGUUUCCGUUUGAACUGUCUGGCCGGAACUCAUGAACUGUGGAAUGUGCUUUCUUAUCAGUUGAGCUGUGUGAGCCGUUUGCUGUGUGGAGAGGCAAAAGAAAAAUGCCAGCUUCCAGCGAUGGCUUUUGCUGCGUUUGUAAAUAUGAUUUGUAAAUACUGAAUGAAUGUUUGAACUUCAGACUGCAGAUGUCUGUGAGUCUGUACUGCUACUCAGAACGAGAGCAGCAGUCUGACAUUGGAGAGGAAUUGGUGAGGGCAGAAGUUCACCGAUUCAUCAGGGUGCUGAUCUGGAGCUGAUGAUCGAUGGUUUUAAAGACACCCACCAACAGACGCACCCUGACCCCUGGCUCUGAUUUUUCACACGUCAGACGCACCCUGACCCCUGGCUCUUCUGAUUUUUGACAGUGCUCAUCUCCAUUUCUAAGCUGAAGAGCCGGUGUUGUCCAUAGACACCUCCAAGGUCAUGUGGCCGGCAUGACUGCAUGGAGCGCCGUUACCUUCCCGCCGGAGUGGUACCUAUUGAUCUACUCAGAUUUGCAUGUUUUCGAACUGCUAGGUUGGCAGGAGCUGGGGCUAACAGCGGGCGCUCAUUUCGCUCCCGGGAUUUGAACCUGGGACCUUUUGGUCCACAAGUUCAGCAACUCAGCACUUUAACACACUGUGCCACCAGGCGCCCGGCAUACUGACACUACCAACUGUAUACUGUACAGACUGACUUCUAAACUGUAGUAUACUGCUUCUGAUUCAAGCUGGCUUCUAAAAUGGAGUCUCAGUCUGAGUAGUCCCAGAUCUGGUCGCAUGGUCUGCAGUCCCUCCCGCAACCGCAAACAACAUAGAGUUAAAGGGAAACUGCAUAUCAAAAUAUACAUACAAUAUAGUAAGCAAUCACAAUUAUAUAUAUAAAACAACUUGUAUAGGAGGCUUGUAGAAGGUUGCUAUUUCCAACACUUUUAUCGACAGCAAUCCCAUUUCGAGUUUCACCUCCCCAUUACACUCAACAUGUGGAAAGUUAAAAGCUAGCAAUACAUUCAUCUUCACAAGGUCAGUAUUUCUUUUUUGUUUCUAAUGAGGAGAAACAACGAUGUCCGAAAACCAAAAGAUCCCUUGCCCUGCCUAAAGCCAGGAGACAGACAUCAGUUGAAAACCACUUCUUUACAUGAGAUAAAAUUGUUCUGCCCCAAACCGCAUAUGAUACAAGAGACGGUGCUCCAGGUUAAAACCAUUUCUUUCCAUGGAAUCCUAUUGAUCUGCAUCAAGCCCUAUGGGAUACAAAAGACAGUGAUUCCGGUUAAAACCAUUUCUUACCAUGGGAUUCUGUUGUUCUGCAUCAAACUCCAUUGGAUACAAGAGACUGCUGACAAUUGGGCAAUGAAAUAGAAUGGAAAACUUUAAUGCUUCCCAUCCCACCAGUUUUUCAGUUGUAACUAUGGGAGUAAAGAGGUAGAAGCUCUGAAGACAAUUGCCGACCCAUGUUCAGAGUUCCCCCCUUUCAUGACAUUUCUGCCUCUUUUCAACCACAGAAGACUAUGCAUGACAGAAGUAGUUUAACUCCUGUGAUAAACCCCUUGCCUCUCCAUGCUUAAAAAGAGGUUGAAGUGCCCUAUUAGGGGGAAAUUUCUCAAUGAGAUGGGGUCAAUUGCUGCUGUUCCCUCCUUUCAGGACACUUCUGCUUCUUUUCAACCAAGGAGGGCUAUGCAUGACAACUGUAAGUAGUUUAACUCAUGUGAUGAGCUCAGUGCCUCUUCUCUGUUGAGCCUUUUUUCAUGGCUAGGCCUUCUUUGCCCCUUGCCUGAGUGGGCAAGGGAUAUGAAUGGUACCAUCCAGGAUGUAGUUAUGUAUUUGGUGUGAACUGUCUUCUACCUGUUUUUUUUCUGUCUUUCUUCUUUGCUUUGGAUAUAAACAGUAGUUAUGUAGAUUGAGGAGUAUUAAAAGACUUGAACCUAUAUGCAGAGACUGCUGAUAGUGUUGCCAUUACUGGGUGAGCCACAGGGACUGUGGGAAUUGCUGAAGGAGAGAAAACAUGGUGCUACUGUGUGUGAUGAUGUAGAAUGCAUAUGCUCUGGGUAUGUCUGUCUUGGUGGGAGGAAAGCUGUCUGCCUCUGGUUGUGUAUUCCUGGCAUAUCGCUUGUUAUUUGGCUGGACUUUCAGAGACACUGAGGUUUCAGGUGGGUUGCUAAAUUUAUUCAAGAAUGUUAUAUUUCUAGUUUUAUAUGUAUUUCCCUUCUUGGCUGGGCACAUAUUGGAUAUGGCAGCAUUCUUCCGGCAUAAUGGCCACAUAUUUCUGGUCUGAAAUAUGAAUGUCAGAUUGUUCUUCCUCAUUUUCAUAACAUCGCAGCAAAGUUGGGAUGAUGUGAUUCCCAUUGUCAAAUGAAGUGUUGAAUCUGGCCUUGGCUGAGAAUACUUAACAGUUUGUUUUCAGUGACACAAUCCAUAAAAUGGCUUUAUAAAAUUUUAAUUAUUUUGUCUCUGACUCAUGAGUUCUGCAAGGUUUACAGUUAGUAAUGAGUAAAUGUUCUAGUAGGGCUGUCAUAAUUUCUGCUUAUUCUUGUUUCUCAAGGCUCCUGUGUUUUGAACAGAUAGACUGACUUUCAAUUAAUGAUGCAGGAAUGUGGAAAUGUUGCUUAUUAAGUUUCUGUCACAGUUACCUAGUUAUGAAGCUGAAAAUCCUAACUGGCUUGCCAGCAUAUUGCUAAAAAUAUUUACCUUCUUGGGUCUUAUAACCACUGUCUAAGGUCCACAGCUGGAUGCACUUUUUUAUGACCAGUUGCAGGGGGGACCGACUUUAUUUGUCUAGGUCUGUUAAGAACUGUUUUUACUUUUAGAACAUAUGUGCAUGGCCCUCCAAAUAGACUGCCAUUCCUAUCAGUUCUGUUCAGUACUGUUAAUAUUUUCCCAUAUAACAGCAUGGCCAACAGUUGAGAGAUUAUAGGAACUCCACUCUACCAACAUCUAGAGGAUUACAAGUUGCCCAGCCCUGUUUUAGAUCCUUGCACUCCUUGUUUCUGUUCCCUGCAUGGAUUUUACCCUGUGAUGCUAGUUUUAUUCUAUGUUAUUUAUUAUUGGUUUUUAUUUUGUAUCUUAUGUUUUUAGUAGACUUGUAUACCACCUAGAAAACCUCAAUGAUUAGGCAGCCCAAAAAGGGAAAAAAUUAAAACAAAAGAUAUGUGUUCAAUAAAAUCCAGGCAAGAAUUCCUUGA